Impatiens glandulifera is the source of this 241-nucleotide long non-coding RNA. RefSeq lists it as uncharacterized. The transcript has 3 exons. NCBI's taxonomy places the organism in Eukaryota, Viridiplantae, Streptophyta, Magnoliopsida, Ericales, Balsaminaceae. The record is from RefSeq and is a predicted model, not a curated record.
AAAGUAUAUCCAAACGUCAUUGGAGGAUGAUUUCAAAACAGUUGUAGGAGUAAGUCAUGUCUUGUGGGCGUCAUUUGUGAUCUUCUUGCUCCUGAAUAUUAAUGAUAAUCUUGGUGGUUGGAACAGAGCUUCAAGUUAUUAUGAAAAAAAUGGCUAUGGAAAUCACCCAAAGACAUUGCAGACGGCAAAGGAGAAUUUUGAGUUAGCCCUGAAGGUUGACAAUUCAAAUAAACAAGCUAGA